AGUGAACGCUGGCGGUAGGCCUAACACAUGCAAGUCGAACGGCAGCACAGUAAGAGCUUGCUCUUACGGGUGGCGAGUGGCGGACGGGUGAGGAAUACAUCGGAAUCUACUUUUUCGUGGGGGAUAACGUAGGGAAACUUACGCUAAUACCGCAUACGACCUACGGGUGAAAGCAGGGGAUCUUCGGACCUUGCGCGAUUGAAUGAGCCGAUGUCGGAUUAGCUAGUUGGCGGGGUAAAGGCCCACCAAGGCGACGAUCCGUAGCUGGUCUGAGAGGAUGAUCAGCCACACUGGAACUGAGACACGGUCCAGACUCCCACGGGAGGCAGCAGUGGGGAAUAUUGGACAAUGGGCGCAAGCCUGAUCCAGCCAUACCGCGUGGGUGAAGAAGGCCUUCGGGUUGUAAAGCCCUUUUGUUGGGAAAGAAAAGCAGCAUGUUAAUACCCCGCUGUUCUGACGGUACCCAAAGAAUAAGCACCGGCUAACUUCGUG
This 492-nucleotide ribosomal RNA is filed under the name uncultured bacterium. RNAcentral describes it as "partial 16S ribosomal RNA". It matches the Rfam family "Bacterial small subunit ribosomal RNA", at positions 29 to 507 of the family's 1533-position model. The record is from RNAcentral.